This 497-nucleotide ribosomal RNA is filed under the name uncultured bacterium. RNAcentral describes it as "partial 16S ribosomal RNA". It matches the Rfam family "Bacterial small subunit ribosomal RNA", at positions 28 to 507 of the family's 1533-position model. The record is from RNAcentral.
GAUGAACGCUGGCGGCGUGCCUAAUUCAUGCAAGUCGAGCGAACAGACGAGGAGCUUGCUCCUCUGACGUUAGCGGCGGACGGGUGAGUAACACGUGGAUAACCUACCUAUAAGACUGGGAUAACUUCGGGAAACCGGAGCUAAUACCGGAUAAUAUAUUGAACCGCAUGGUUCAAUAGUGAAAGACGGUUUUGCUGUCACUUAUAGAUGGAUCCGCGCCGCAUUAGCUAGUUGGUAAGGUAACGGCUUACCAAGGCAACGAUGCGUAGCCGACCUGAGAGGGUGAUCGGCCACACUGGAACUGAGACACGGUCCAGACUCCUACGGGAGGCAGCAGUAGGGAAUCUUCCGCAAUGGGCGAAAGCUUGACGGAGCAACGCCGCGUGAGUGAUGAAGGUCUUCGGAUCGUAAAACUCUGUUAUUAGGGAAGAACAAAUGUGUAAGUAACUAUGCACGUCUUGACGGUACCUAAUCAGAAAGCCACGGCUAACUACGUG